AUACUAACCUGGCGUGGGGGUCUACCGUGAUCAGGAAGGCGGUUCCCCCUGGGCGAAACCUUGCCGUUUAUGCGGUCGGGUUGACCCCUGCGUGUGUCCCAAAUGUGGAUAUCUCGCGCGCGAAAUUUUUGGUAGUCGGGACUGCGUACGCGCUGUCCCGAA
This 162-nucleotide small nuclear RNA is filed under the name Rhodnius prolixus. RNAcentral's name for it is "U1 spliceosomal RNA". It matches the Rfam family "U1 spliceosomal RNA". Rfam says of the family: U1 is a small nuclear RNA (snRNA) component of the spliceosome (involved in pre-mRNA splicing). Its 5' end forms complementary base pairs with the 5' splice junction, thus defining the 5' donor site of an intron. There are significant differences in sequence and secondary structure between metazoan and yeast U1 snRNAs, the latter being much longer (568 nucleotides as compared to 164 nucleotides in human). Lineage: Eukaryota; Metazoa; Arthropoda; Insecta; Hemiptera; Reduviidae. The record is from Rfam by way of RNAcentral.